Long non-coding RNA from Anoplophora glabripennis (Asian longhorned beetle), 852 nucleotides. RefSeq lists it as uncharacterized. The transcript is spliced from 4 exons. NCBI's taxonomy places the organism in Eukaryota, Metazoa, Arthropoda, Insecta, Coleoptera, Cerambycidae. The record is from RefSeq and is a predicted model, not a curated record.
GGUUAAUCAGUGCUGCGUAGAAUCAUGCAAAAUGAUAAGUAAAGGCUGUCCUAUGCAUCGAUUUAAUCAUUUAGAUGAAAAGGUUUAUAAUAUUUGGGUUGCUAGAAUUAAUAAAUCAAAAAUAAAAUCUCUCACAAUCAUUUUAGUCAAUACUGUUUAUUGUCUCAAGAACAUCGCACUAACAGACGAUUGUUAAAAGCACGAAGUUUUCCCACUUUGAAUUUACUUGUGUCAAAUUUUACUUCCACUACUGCUAUCGACACUGCACAUUUCUUUUUAUUUGGGGACACAUUAUUUGAUAGUGUAAAUGGAGACAGAUUAUCGUCUACAAAGAAAUGUAGGUGUUCCAUACAUGAUUCUAGCCCACAUCUGGAUUUUUUCGAUGAGGCGAUUGAAGUGCUGAAGAGCAUGAAAUGCGAAUGCAAAAAGGAAUUUGAUGGACCUACUACAUUAAACUGGAUAGAAACAUUAAAAGGGUUUAAAUAUUUAAAGAUUAACUCUAAGAGGAAAAAACUUGAUUUCAUAAUGGACGCAAGGUUUUCGGCGGCACCCCUUACCACGUCAUUGGUGCCACGAUAGGAUGUGGACGGUCUGCUAAUGGCAUCUCUUUUACUUGUGGCCCACACGUAUUCAAAAUCUCCAAUGCCACAGUACCAUCCCGGAUAACCAAAAAUACAAAAUUUAUAGAAUUGUUAAAAAAAAACAGAAAUUCAAGCGUAGUGGAGGUAUUAUUGGAGGUUUCGACGAACAACAAAUUUUUCUGUGUUUGAAAAUAAACCCCAGUAGUACCUCCACCGAUGAGGAUUGUUAGCGCAAAAGGGUCAUUGAGAAAUUGGUCUAUUGAACUGCAAA